Molecule: non-coding RNA, 30 nt
Filed under: Mus musculus (house mouse)
Lineage: Eukaryota; Metazoa; Chordata; Mammalia; Rodentia; Muridae
Source: RNAcentral
UUGGAGCACGUAUAGACAUUUGCUGGGUGG